Molecule: ribosomal RNA, 263 nt
Filed under: Salmonella enterica
Lineage: Bacteria; Pseudomonadati; Pseudomonadota; Gammaproteobacteria; Enterobacterales; Enterobacteriaceae
Description: partial 23S ribosomal RNA
Rfam family: Bacterial large subunit ribosomal RNA
Source: RNAcentral
GGUUAAGCGACUAAGCGUACACGGUGGAUGCCCUGGCAGUCAGAGGCGAUGAAGGACGUGCUAAUCUGCGAUAAGCGCCGGUAAGGUGAUAUGAACCGUUAUAACCGGCGAUUUCCGAAUGGGGAAACCCAGUGUGAUUCGUCACACUAUCAUUAACUGAAUCCAUAGGUUAAUGAGGCGAACCGGGGGAACUGAAACAUCUAAGUACCCCGAGGAAAAGAAAUCAACCGAGAUUCCCCCAGUAGCGGCGAGCGAACGAGGAG